UUGUUCACUGUUUGAGGCUCUGAGGUUUUUAUUUAAUUGGUCAUUAGCUGCCACAAAGGCUCUUAUCUUUUGACUUUUUAUAAUUGCUGACUUCCUGUUUGUUUCUGAUCUAUGGCUUCCAAGGAGUUCUCUGGUCUUUGUUCCUUGGUUUCUUCACUCUCCGAGAGCAUUUUGUGCACUACUGGGUUGAAAAUGUAUUUGGUGGAGAGCAAAGGAGGUGCCAUAACAUGCAUGUUCUUGGCUCUUUUCUUCUUGGGGACAUGGCCUGCUCUUUUGACUAUGUUAGAAAGGCGUGGUCGUCUUCCUCAGCAUACAGCAUACCUACCUUGAUUACUCAAUCACCAAUUUCUUGUCUGCUUUACUCAUUGCUUUUACACUUGGUGGGAUAGGCAAGGGCACUCAUGAUCAGCCAAAUUUCUUAGUUCAACUUGCUCAGGAUAAUUGGCCCUCCGUUCUUUUUGCAAUGGGGGGUGGUCUGUUCCUUAGCCUUGGGAAUCUGUCAAGCCAAUAUGCAUUUGCUUUUGUUGGGCUAUCUGUUACUGAAGUGAUCACGGCAAGCAUAACUGUUGUUAUAGGCACAACCUUGAAUUACUUUUUGGAUGACAAAAUCAACAAAGCUGAGAUCCUUUUCCCAGGAGUUGGUUGCUUUUUGAUUGCAGUUUUUCUAGGCUCUGCUGUUCAUUCAUCUAAUGCUGCUGAUAAUAAAGCAAAGCUCAGCAAUUUCACCGGUGAUUAUAAAGAUGGAGACAUCAGCUCUUCCAAGGAGGGGGAUAUAGUUAAAUCAAAAGAUCUCGAGAGCGGAAGUAGUUCUGCAGACAAUGUCGAAGCAGGAACUGCAGUUUUUCUCGUGGAGCUUGAGGAAAAAAGAGCUAUUAAGGUUUUUGGGAAGAGCACUUUGAUUGGAUUGGCUCUAACAUUCUUUGCUGGACUUUGCUUCUCUAUGUUCUCACCAGCAUUCAACAUAGCAACAAAUGACCAAUGGAAUACUUUGAAAAAAGGGGUUCCCCAUUUGACAGUUUAUACUGCAUUCUUCUAUUUUUCAAUAUCUUGUUUUGUUAUUGCCAUGAUUCUAAACAUCACCUUCCUCUACCACCCUGUCCUAAACCUACCCAAGUCAUCAUUUAAGGCUUAUUUGGCAGACUCAGAUGGCAGAGUCUGGGCCUUGUUGGCUGGUCUACUUUGUGGGUUUGGGAAUGGUCUUCAAUUUAUGGGUGGUCAAGCAGCAGGAUAUGCAGCAGCAGAUGCAGUCCAGGCACUUCCACUUGUAAGCACUUUUUGGGGCGUGAUUCUGUUUGGAGAGUACAGGAAAUCAUCAAGAAGAACAUAUAUACUGCUAGGGAGUAUGUUGUUUAUGUUUAUAGUGGCUGUUGCUGUGCUAAUGGCAUCAUCAGGGCAAAGAAACAGCACUGCCAAGGAAUAAUUGGACAACACACAAGUUGUUUAUAGAUUGCCUAGUGCAAAGGGAGAAAAAUUCUCAUUGUUCAUUGGUGUGAAUAAGAGAAGAAGAAAAAAUCUAUUAAGAAAAGAGUGCAGAAAAAGAAAUAAAGCAGGGAGCAUAGUUGAUAUAUUCUUAUUGAAAUGCUUUUAUGUUUUUUAUUUUUCUGUA
RNA transcript from Glycine soja, 1606 nucleotides. It is a transcript of the gene named probable ureide permease A3, with no coding region annotated. The record is from RefSeq and is a predicted model, not a curated record. The transcript is spliced from 8 exons. Lineage: Eukaryota; Viridiplantae; Streptophyta; Magnoliopsida; Fabales; Fabaceae.